Molecule: non-coding RNA, 115 nt
Organism: Triticum aestivum (bread wheat)
Lineage: Eukaryota; Viridiplantae; Streptophyta; Magnoliopsida; Poales; Poaceae
Source: Rfam
GAGGUACUCUCUCCAUUCGGAAUUACUUGUCUCGGAAAUGGAUGUAUGUAGAACUAAAAUACGUCUUGAUACAUCCAUUUCUGCGAUAAGUAAUUCCGAACGGAGGGAGUACAUG